GGGCGAAAGCCUGACGGAGCAAUACCGCGUGAGGGAUGAAAGCCUGUGGGUUGUAAACCUCUUUUCUCAAGGAAGAAGUUCUGACGGUACUUGAGGAAUAAGCAUCGGCUAACUCUGUGCCAGCAGCCGCGGUAAUACAGAGGAUGCAAGCGUUAUCCGGAAUCACUGGGCAUAAAGCGUCUGUAGGUUGCCUACCAAGUCUGCUGUUAAAGAUCAGGGCCUAACCCUGGGAAAGCAGUGGAAACUAGUAGGCUUGAGUGUGGUAGAGGUAGAGGGAAUUCCUGGUGUAGCGGUGAAAUGCGUAGAUAUUAGGAAGAACACCAAUGGCGAAAGCACUCUACUGGGCCAUAACUGACACUGAGAGACGACAGCUAAGGGGAGCAAAUGGGAUUAGAUACCCCNGUAGUCCUAGCCGUAAACGAUGGAUACUAGGUGUUGCUACGUAUUAACCCGUGCGAGUAUCG
Molecule: ribosomal RNA, 464 nt
Filed under: uncultured bacterium
Lineage: Bacteria
Description: bacterial SSU rRNA
Rfam family: Bacterial small subunit ribosomal RNA
Source: RNAcentral